AUGUUUUCUCAUUUAAUAUCAUGUCAUUUUUUUCGUCUCUGUGUGUGUGUUGUUUUUCUGGUCUUUUUUACCAUGGCAAAAACUUUAAAUCUGCAUGUUUUUUCAUUUAAUACCAUGGCAUUUUUUCAUGUAUGUGCUUUUUUUCUGUUUUUUUACCAUGGCAACUUUAUUUUAUAUUCUAUGGCAAAUUCAUUGAGUAUACCUUGGCAAAGUUUUAAUUAUGUCGCGAACAAACCUGUGGUUGGAUGGUUAGGUGGACAGUGGUAUCCCCAGCCCACCAGGGUUCAAGUCCUGGUGCUCGCAUUUAUUCUGGAUUUAUUUCAGAAUUUCCGGCGUUGGGACGAGACGUCACCGUCGACUACGAGGCACCUACGGUGA
RNAcentral lists this ribosomal RNA (378 nucleotides) under Triticum aestivum (bread wheat). Its description in RNAcentral is "partial small subunit ribosomal RNA". The record is from RNAcentral. Lineage: Eukaryota; Viridiplantae; Streptophyta; Magnoliopsida; Poales; Poaceae.